Molecule: ribosomal RNA, 515 nt
Filed under: uncultured bacterium
Lineage: Bacteria
Description: partial 16S ribosomal RNA
Rfam family: Bacterial small subunit ribosomal RNA
Source: RNAcentral
GAUGAACGCUGGCGGCGUGCCUAAUACAUGCAAGUCGAGCGAAUGGAUUAAGAGCUUGCUCUUAUGAAGUUAGCGGCGGACGGGUGAGUAACACGUGGGUAACCUGCCCAUAAGACUGGGAUAACUCCGGGAAACCGGGGCUAAUACCGGAUAACAUUUUGAACCGCAUGGUUCGAAAUUGAAAGGCGGCUUCGGCUGUCACUUAUGGAUGGACCCGGGUCGCAUUAGCUAGUUGGAGAGGUAACGGCUCACCAAGGCAACGAUGCGUAGCCGACCUGGGAGGGUGAUCGGCCACACUGGGACUGAGACACGGUCCAGACUCCUACGGGAGGCAGCAGUAGGGAAUCUUCCGCAAUGGACGAAAGUCUGACGGAGCAACGCCGCGUGAGUGAUGAAGGCUUUCGGGUCGUAAAACUCUGUUGUUAGGGAAGAACAAGUGCUAGUUGAAUAAGCUGGCACCUUGACGGUACCUAACCAGAAAGCCACGGCUAACUACGUGCCAGCCGCCGCAGUAA